Molecule: ribosomal RNA, 467 nt
Filed under: uncultured bacterium
Lineage: Bacteria
Description: partial 16S ribosomal RNA
Rfam family: Bacterial small subunit ribosomal RNA
Source: RNAcentral
GACGAACGCUGGCGGCGUGCUUAACACAUGCAAGUCGAACGGAAAGGCCCUGCUUUUGUGGGGUGCUCGAGUGGCGAACGGGUGAGUAACACGUGAGUAACCUGCCCUUGACUUUGGGAUAACUUCAGGAAACUGGGGCUAAUACCGGAUAGGAGCUCCUGCUGCAUGGUGGGGGUUGGAAAGUUUCGGCGGUUGGGGAUGGACUCGCGGCUUAUCAGCUUGUUGGUGGGGUAGUGGCUUACCAAGGCUUUGACGGGUAGCCGGCCUGAGAGGGUGACCGGCCAAAUGGGGACGGAGAUACGGCCCAAACCCCUACGGGGGGCAGCGGUGGGGAAUAUUGCACAAUGGGCGGAAGCCGGAUGCAGCAACGCCGCGGGGGGGAUGACGGCCUUCGGGUGGUAAACCGCUUUCGCCGGUGCCGAAGGGGGGGUGACGGUAAUGGGUAAAGAAGCCCCGGCUAACUACGU